CCUACGGGAGGCAGCAGUGGGGAAUCUUGCGCAAUGGGCGAAAGCCUGACGCAGCAACGCCGCGUGCGGGAAGAAGGCUUUCGGGCUGUAAACCGCUUUCAGCAGGAACGAAAAUGACGGUACCUGCAGAAGAAGGAGCGGCCAACUAUGUGCCAGCAGCCGCGGUGAUACAUAGGCUUCAAGCGUUGUCCGGAUUUAUUGGGCGUAAAGAGUUCGUAGGCGGUCGAGUAAGUCGGGUGUGAAAAUUCUGGGCUCAACCCAGAGACGCCACCCGAUACUGCUUGACUUGAGUUCGAUAGGGGAGUGGGGAAUUCCUAGUGUAGCGGUGAAAUGCGCAGAUAUUAGGAGGAACACCGGUGGCGAAGGCGCCACUCUGGAUCGAUACUGACGCUGAGGAACGAAAGCAUGGGUAGCAAACGGGAUUAGAUACCCUGGUAGUCCAUGCUGUAAACGGUGGGCACUAGGUGUGGGUUUCUAUUAACGAAAUCCGCGCCGUCGCUAACGCAUUAAGUGCCCCGCCUGGGGAGUACGGUCGCAAGACUAAAACUUAAGGAAUUGACGG
This 562-nucleotide ribosomal RNA is filed under the name uncultured bacterium. RNAcentral describes it as "bacterial SSU rRNA". It matches the Rfam family "Bacterial small subunit ribosomal RNA", at positions 338 to 916 of the family's 1533-position model. The record is from RNAcentral.